CUGAGGAAGUUCAAAGACACUCUGCCGUCUGCACCGGAGAGAAAAAGCGGGGAACCCCUAGGAGCCCCCAGACUGGUGAAUGUGACUCUGGAUCCAGACACGGCUCAUCCCAUCCUCGUCCUGUCUGAGGAUGGGAAAAGUGUGAGACGGAGAGACAAACGGCAGCGACUGCCCGACAACCCUGAGAGAUUUGACACUGUGUUCUGUGUGCUGGGCUGUG
Molecule: long non-coding RNA, 220 nt
Organism: Mauremys mutica (yellowpond turtle)
Lineage: Eukaryota; Metazoa; Chordata; Testudines; Geoemydidae
Exons: 3
Source: RefSeq, a predicted model, not a curated record